Molecule: ribosomal RNA, 351 nt
Filed under: bacterium 73_VP9_A1
Lineage: Bacteria
Description: bacterial SSU rRNA
Rfam family: Bacterial small subunit ribosomal RNA
Source: RNAcentral
UCCUGCGGGAGGCAGCUAAAUGUAAUUUUCCGCAGUGGGCGAAAGUCUGACGGAGGAUGCCGAACCAGAGAUGACUGCUAUGGGUUGCAAACCUCCUUUUUGAAGGACGAAUAGUUGACAUGAACCUGAAGAAUCGCCUUCCGCUAACUCCGGGCCAGCAUCCGCUUUAAAACUUAGGAUGCUCGUGUUUUCCGGAAUCACUGGGCGAAAACUCGUCGUUGCAGGCUUAAUAACUCAACUGUGACACCUUGAGGCCCCUUCUCGGACUCACAGUCAAAACUAUAAGACCAGAGGAUAACCCGGGUAAUGGCAAUUUCCCUUGAAGCCGUAAAAGUCCGCAGAGUAUCCAAG